GAAUAUUGGACAAUGGGGGGAACCCUGAUCCAGCCAUGCCGCGUGUGUGAAGAAGGCCUUUUGGUUGUAAAGCACUUUAAGCGAGGAGGAGGAGCUCUUGGUUAAUACCCAAGAUGCCUGGACGUUCCUCGCAGAAUAAGCACCGGCUACAUCUGUGCCAGCAGCCGCGGUACUACAGAGGGUGCAAGACUUAAGCGGAUUUACUGGGCGUAAAGCGCGCGUAGGUGGCCAAUUAAGUCAAAUUUGAAAUCCCCGAUCUUAACUUGGGAUUUGCAUUCGAUGCUGGUUGGCUGGAGUAUGGGAGAGGAUGGUAGAAUUCCAGGUGUAGCGGUGAAAUGCGUAGAGAUCUGGAGGAAUACCGAUGGCGAAGGCAGCCAUCUGGCCUAAUACUGACACUGAGGUGCGAAAGCAUGGGGAGCAAACA
This 424-nucleotide ribosomal RNA is filed under the name uncultured bacterium. RNAcentral describes it as "partial 16S ribosomal RNA". It matches the Rfam family "Bacterial small subunit ribosomal RNA", at positions 359 to 774 of the family's 1533-position model. The record is from RNAcentral.